AUGGAGGCUGUUCCAAGAACGGGACAAGUAUUCAGCAACCUGCAUUUUUACCCAACAUAUUCAUGGAGGAAAACAAUGAGCAGUAAUAAAUUAGAAGUUUCACAGAUUGCACAGGAAAUACAUCCUGGCUCCCACGAAGAUUCAGCACUGAUCUAUGCUGCCCUCACAUUCUGUGAAACACCAUGGACAUGAGGGUUACUCGCCAUGAUCAUCUCCUUUGCAGAAAUGGACCACAAAACAUUUCCCACUGUGGGGACUAAGAAGGUAGAGUGAACAUUUGUUGUGGUUAUGGUCACUCAACAUCUAUUUCUUCAAGAACAUCUGAUUUUCUUUGGAAAAUUACCCAGUUGUGGUUAAUGUUGUUGAGUCCUAAAUCUAGUUCUCCAAUACAUGAUUCUCUCAUACGUACUCAUCAUGCCAAAGAGUGAGCAUGUGAUCUAAACUCAGUUGACUGGAUUCUCUCUUUUAAGAAGUUGCUUCUUGGCUGGCCACAGUGGCUCACGCCUGUAGUCCCAGCACUUUGGGAGGCUGAGGCAGGCGGAUCACGAGGUCAGGAGUUAGAGACCAGACUGGCCAAUAUGGUGAAACCCCGUCUCUACUAAAAUAUACAAAAAUUAGCCAGACGUGGUGGUGCACGCCUGUAGUCCCAGCUACUUGGGAGGCUGAGGCAGGAGAAUCAUUUGAAUCCAGGAGGUGGAGGUUGCAGUGAGCCAAGAUCACAACACUGCACUCCAGCCUGGGUGACAGAGUCAGACUCUGUCUCAAAAAAAAAAAAAAAAAAAAAAAAAAAAAGUUGCUUCUUAACUGUUUUUUCCAGUUGGGGAGACAGUUGGGGAGUGCCUGCAAUCAGAAGUUCUGCAGCUGUCUGGGACCUGUGUAUUCCAAGCUACAUACUUCAAACUUCCUUUCAGAUGUGUAAGUGCCUUCAUUCUUGCCAUUAAAUUCCCAUUUUGCUUAUGUUUGCCAGAGGGUGUUUCUGUUGCUUACAAUUAAAGACCCCUGAUUAAAGAAAGCAUUCAAAACGUAGGAGAGUUGGAAAUGAUGUCUGGAAUGAUUGUCCCAUGACAACAGAUAUUUCACCUAAUGCAUUGUACAGGGGUGAAGACUGCAUGGUUA
This 1116-nucleotide long non-coding RNA is filed under the name Macaca mulatta (Rhesus monkey). Its description in RNAcentral is "lncRNA (ENSMMUG00000049872.1)". The record is from RNAcentral. Lineage: Eukaryota; Metazoa; Chordata; Mammalia; Primates; Cercopithecidae.